RNAcentral lists this small nucleolar RNA (130 nucleotides) under Bombyx mori (domestic silkworm). RNAcentral's name for it is "Bm_55". Lineage: Eukaryota; Metazoa; Arthropoda; Insecta; Lepidoptera; Bombycidae. The record is from RNAcentral.
AUUGCACUAGGUAUCUCCACGAUAAAUUAUAUAUUAAUCGUGGUCGUUUUUUCGGUGCUAUAACAGAAAGCUCACCCAUUCGAAAGCACAAAAUCCUUUCUGCUUUCGUCAGUUACGAGCCCUACAUUUU